CCUACGGGGGGCUGCAGUGGGGAAUUUUGGACAAUGGGCGAAAGCCUGAUCCAGCGACGCCGCGUGCGGGAAGACGUCCUUCGGGAUGUAAACCGCUGUCGGAUGGGACGAACACAAUGACGGUACCAUCGGAGGAAGCACCGGCUAACUCUGUGCCAGCAGCCGCGGUAAGACAGAGGGUGCAAGCGUUGUCCGGAUUGACUGGGUGUAAAGGGCGUGUAGGCGGCCGAGUAAGUCUGACGUGAAAACAUCACCGCUCAACGGGAUGUACGCGUUGGAAACUGUUCGGCUUGAGUACAGGAGAGGUUAACGGAAUUCCAGGUGUAGCGGUGGAAUGUGUAGAUAUCUGGAGGAACACCGGUGGCGAAAGCGGUUAACUGGCCUGUGACUGACGCUGAGGCGCGAAAGCCAGGGGAGCAAACGGGAUUAGAUACCCCAGUAGUC
RNAcentral lists this ribosomal RNA (444 nucleotides) under uncultured bacterium. RNAcentral's name for it is "bacterial SSU rRNA". It matches the Rfam family "Bacterial small subunit ribosomal RNA", at positions 338 to 795 of the family's 1533-position model. The record is from RNAcentral.